Molecule: ribosomal RNA, 895 nt
Filed under: Streptomyces sp.
Lineage: Bacteria; Bacillati; Actinomycetota; Actinomycetes; Kitasatosporales; Streptomycetaceae
Description: bacterial SSU rRNA
Rfam family: Bacterial small subunit ribosomal RNA
Source: RNAcentral
UGCAGUCGACGAUGAACCACUUCGGUGGGGAUUAGUGGCGAACGGGUGAGUAACACGUGGGCAAUCUGCCCUGCACUCUGGGACAAGCCCUGGAAACGGGGUCUAAUACCGGAUAACACUACGGGCCUCAUGGUCUGUGGUUAAAAGCUCCGGCGGUGCAGGAUGAGCCCGCGGCCUAUCAGCUUGUUGGUGAGGUAAUGGCUCACCAAGGCGACGACGGGUAGCCGGCCUGAGAGGGCGACCGGCCACACUGGGACUGAGACACGGCCCAGACUCCUACGGGAGGCAGCAGUGGGGAAUAUUGCACAAUGGGCGAAAGCCUGAUGCAGCGACGCCGCGUGAGGGAUGACGGCCUUCGGGUUGUAAACCUCUUUCAGCAGGGAAGAAGCGCAAGUGACGGUACCUGCAGAAGAAGCGCCGGCUAACUACGUGCCAGCAGCCGCGGUAAUACGUAGGGCGCAAGCGUUGUCCGGAAUUAUUGGGCGUAAAGAGCUCGUAGGCGGCUUGUCACGUCGGGUGUGAAAGCCCGGGGCUUAACCCCGGGUCUGCAUUCGAUACGGGCUAGCUAGAGUGUGGUAGGGGAGAUCGGAAUUCCUGGUGUAGCGGUGAAAUGCGCAGAUAUCAGGAGGAACACCGGUGGCGAAGCGGAUCUCUGGGCCAUUACUGACGCUGAGGAGCGAAAGCGUGGGGAGCGAACAGGAUUAGAUACGCUGGUAGUCCACGCCGUAAACGGUGGGAACUAGGUGUUGGCGACAUUCCACGUCGUCAGUGCCGCAGCUAACGCAUUAAGUUCCCCGCCUGGGGAGUACGCCGCAAGGCUAAAACUCAAGGAUUGACGGGGCCCGCACAAGCAGCGGAGCAUGUGGCUUAAUUCGACGCAACGCAAGACUUACCA